Molecule: non-coding RNA, 327 nt
Organism: Varanus komodoensis (Komodo dragon)
Lineage: Eukaryota; Metazoa; Chordata; Lepidosauria; Squamata; Varanidae
Product: small Cajal body-specific RNA 7
Source: Ensembl
UAGAAAUGAUGAAAUGGAGGUCAUGUGUGGUAAUGUGUGUAUAUUUGCUGGAGGGUAGGGGGGAGAAUGGAGGCUAUUUUAAAUUAAAAGGUGUGUGUGUGUGUGUGUGUGUGUGCAUGCAGAAGUUAUAUAAUGAUGCAGAUUGUGAGCACUGAAAGAAACUGCUGAUUCCGGAGUGCAUCUGAGGCACUGUUGCUAAAUUAUGGGUUUUUUCCUGCAAAGUUGCCAAUGAUUAGAACCCGAAAUAGGCUCACAGUUUGCAUCUAGGCAGUCUUAACCUCUAACAGGUUCAUUUUGUCAUACAAAGGAACUUGUGAUCUGAUCUAA